RNAcentral lists this ribosomal RNA (459 nucleotides) under uncultured bacterium. RNAcentral's name for it is "partial 16S ribosomal RNA". It matches the Rfam family "Bacterial small subunit ribosomal RNA", at positions 338 to 795 of the family's 1533-position model. The record is from RNAcentral.
CCUACGGGGGGCAGCAGUGAGGAAUAUUGGUCAAUGGGCGGGAGCCUGAACCAGCCAAGUCGCGUGAAGGAAGAAGGUACUUAGUAUUGUAAACUUCUUUUGCCGGGGAACAAAGGCGGAGACGCGUCUACGGAUGAGUGUAUCCGAAGAAAAAGCAUGGGCUAACUCCGUGCCAGCAGCCGCGGUAAUACGGAGGAUGCGAGCGUUAGCGGGGUUUAUUGGGGUUAAAGGGUGUGCAGGCGGGAGAUCAAGUCAGCGGGAAAAUGUCGGGGCUAAACCCCGGCCGGCCGUUGAAACUGGUUUUCUAGAGUUGGAGAGAAGUAUGCGGAAUUCGUGGUGUAGCGGUGAAAUGCAUAGAUAUCACGAAGAACUCCGAUUGCGAAGGCAGCAUACCGGCUCCAUACUGACGCUGAGGCACGAAGGCGUGGGGAUCGAACAGGAUUAGAUACCCGAGUAGUC